Long non-coding RNA from Setaria italica (foxtail millet), 1184 nucleotides. RefSeq lists it as uncharacterized. NCBI's taxonomy places the organism in Eukaryota, Viridiplantae, Streptophyta, Magnoliopsida, Poales, Poaceae. The record is from RefSeq and is a predicted model, not a curated record. The transcript is spliced from 3 exons.
UAAUAGUUGGUUCUUUACAUGCAACUAGCAAUUGCUUACAUUAUGGUCGAAAUAUUUAGUUCUGGUUGCCAGAUUACGGGAGUUACGCUAAAUAGUUCUCUAAAUUUUGAAAUACUGUGUCAGGAUGUAAAUACUUCAAUUCUGUAAUGUCUCCUAACAGUAAUUCAGUUGUGUCUCUGUUGUGUUUGUACAAGGUAUUGUAUUCCUGGAUGACAGCAGGAGUCCUAUUGAGUGGGAUGAGCUCUGUCGCCUCCAACAGCAGCCAUGGUAGCCUCCUCUCCAUCUUGGCCACAAGUCACAGAAGAGGCAAAGCAGGCCACCUCCACAGCCUCAAUUCCGCUGGCUAAGCCUGCCAUCACCCUCUGCCUCGUACAUCUCAGGGGUGGAGCCAGGCCUGUUUAUUGGUACCAGUUUAUACCAAUGAUUUUUUGCAAAAUCAGUAGAAAAUUACUAUUAUGCACUGUUUACCUAUGGAGCUGACACCAGUGGCUCCGUCAGCUGGCUCGCCCCUGCAAUGGUGUGCAGAAAGUUGGAUUUUUUGUGUGAAGGACUGGAAGAACGUCUAAGAUUGGAAACAAUAGGAAUAUCUCAAAGAAGUGCAUUGGCUUCUGAUUCGACAGAGGCCAUGGAUUUGGCUACACCAUGUUUGCUUUAUUCAUAAGUUUCAAUUUCAAUCAGGCACGGCAUGCAGAUUUGAAAUUGGAUUCGGACAUUCAGGUACCAAGCCACCCAGAUGUUGAGGUAUUCAGUGAUUUUACAGUGCACGUCAAGAACCAUGCAGGUUCCCAUACCCCGUCACGCUGGACUCCUUUGCGCUCCACCUUGCUGGAUUCCUCCCCAUUCAGAACUCUCAAGUUGCCGCUUGCCAGCCGGUGCUGCACGGUUGGGCUCUCCGCUUCCUUUGAGCUUGCCUAUGCCUGAUUGUAUGGUUCAGUCACCUAUGUUAUGGGGGAGUUCCUGUGAAUUUGCAAGAGUUGGUUGACGAAAUAGAUCAAUUUCUACUAGGCCCUGAACUUGAAUCCCUUGAGGAUUGGCAAAUUUUGUGGUGAGAUAGUGCCUUGCCUAACUGGAAUUGGUUUCGUAUCUGAUUGAAAUAUAAAACAGUGCAAUGUGUGUACUGGUAGAUGUUUGGCAAAAAUUUCUGGAUUACCUGGUCAUCCAAGGAGUUUAGAGUGAAAAUAGCA